AUACGUAGGGAGCGAGCGUUGUCCGGAAUUACUGGGUGUAAAGGGAGCGUAGGCGGGAGUGCAAGUCAGAUGUGAAAUACAUGGGCUCAACCCAUGGGCUGCAUUUGAAACUGCAUUUCUUGAGUGAAGUAGAGGUAAGCGGAAUUCCUGGUGUAGCGGUGAAAUGCGUAGAUAUCAGGAGGAACACCGGUGGCGAAGGCGGCUUACUGGGCUUUUACUGACGCUGAGGCUCGAAAGCGUGGGGAGCAAACAGGAUUAGAUACCCUGGUAGUCCACGCUGUAAACGAUGAUUACUAGGUGUGGGGGGACUGACCCCCUCCGUGCCGCAGUUAACACAAUAAGUAUUCCACCUGGGGAGUACGAUCGCAAGAUUGAAACUUAAAGGAAUUGACGGGG
RNAcentral lists this ribosomal RNA (396 nucleotides) under uncultured bacterium. Its description in RNAcentral is "partial 16S ribosomal RNA". It matches the Rfam family "Bacterial small subunit ribosomal RNA", at positions 523 to 918 of the family's 1533-position model. The record is from RNAcentral.